Molecule: long non-coding RNA, 2330 nt
Organism: Prinia subflava (tawny-flanked prinia)
Lineage: Eukaryota; Metazoa; Chordata; Aves; Passeriformes; Cisticolidae
Exons: 3
Source: RefSeq, a predicted model, not a curated record
ACUUGUCAUCUUUUCACUUGCAGUGACUUCCUAAUCCAUUUUAGCCAAAUGAGUUAAGUUAGCAAAGACCUGUUGCUUAGACUAACAUGUUUGAUUUUCCUUAAACAUUUUAUAGGGCUUUCAAAAAUGCAAUGCAGGUGAAAGUGGAGAUUUUCCAAAGGGAAACAAGGAUUCAGCUGCCUCAGGGAGGUCGUGUGCUAAUGUAACUGCUGACUAUGGAGAGAGAAGGCAUCUAAGUGAUUGUGGAUACCCAUUAGAUUCCUAUAAAAAUAGAGAAGAGGAAAGGAGACAAUAGAGUUAUGGGAUUUAUCAUGUCUGCUGGAGUCACCAAAUUGGAUGAGGUUUUGCUGAAAGCUCUUUGAGUUCAAAACUUUUAUUAGAACUAUCGUUGUCUGUUUCUGCAAGGAUGUGACACCUCCUAAUCUCACCAUUGUCAAGCAGGGUAAGUUUCUGCAAUAGUCUCUUUUUCCUCAAUCAAGGCAUCAUAGUAUUUCAACUUACUAUUCAUUUCAUCUUAAACUGAGUCUUUUUGUUCUUCAGACGUUGCAUACUGAGUGUGACAGUACACUUCAGCGUGUCCCAACUUACACACUUAUCAACACUUCCAUUUUAAAGGUACCUCUGCUGAAGUCACAGCUUACUGCUAACUCAAUCCUCACUAGUAAAUAGAGUUUUGAAAGAAAGCUCUGCCCAGUAGCCACCUCUCAUCUGCAGGUGUUUUUUCUUUCCUUUGGAAAAAAUUACCUUUUCUACAGUUGCUCUCUCUCUUUUGAAAAAUGGUUCCAUGCAGCCAAAUGAGGAGAGAAAAAUCACAAAACACUGAAGAGAGAGGAUAAGGCAGAAAAAGAGAAGCUGUGGAAACUUUCUCGAAGCAAGUCUGGGAACUUAAGAAAGUGUGUGAAAUGGGUAAACAGCUGAACAAAAACAGGUGGGGGAGGUGGUUCUUUUUUGUUAGUUUUUUGAGGGGGUUGUUGGUGGUUGGGGUUUUGUGGGGUUUUUUUUUGUUUUUUUUUUUUUUUUUUGUUUUUUGUUUUUUUUCCCCCCCCCUACAUCUGCUUUACCCCAUGAAUCUUGCAGAGGGCACACUGCAGGGAGACACGGAAAACUGUUCCUGCUCUCUGCCUGGCCUUCCAGGGACCUAGAUUGUGACUUCCUAGAGCUCAAAUUUGACAUGGGUGAGGUAAUUUUAGGUGUAGAUACUCAACAACUCAGUGCAUGUUUAGGUGUUCUGCCAUGAGCUGAGAUGUUCAUACCGGUGCAACCAUUGUCACUCAGCCUCACAGACCAGACAUUCAACCUGCCAGUUCCUUUAUGCACUUGUGAAGUUGCACUAACAAUUACACCUUCCCACAUCCAGCAGUGCAAACACUUGCACCCACUCUCGACUUGCUCCUCAACACUAGCAGUACACAAGUGGGAGAUCUGGCACUCAAACACUCACUGUAUAAUCCCCACACACAAUAGCACAUGUUUGCACAGGUGUGGACUCAGCCAAAUCUGUAGCCAUAUGCACAUGAAGGAACAGUUUUAUACACAAACAGCUUCAAAGGCCAAGAAAAGGCUGGGAUUCAAACACAGUCUAUACUACUUCAGCACUAACAUAAUUGCAUUUACUUACAUAAACUUAACUGACGGCAUAGCCUGGGAAUGGAAAGACAUAAAACAAUUGCAAAAUAUUUUAAAAGGUCUUAUAAUGCAUGCUGGCUAGAAACACUAAUGUGCAUUUUGUAUUACAAAGCUUUCUGAAUUUUUUCAUCUCUCUAUACACUUUGGGACUAAAUAAACUCAUGAGUCCAUUAUAUGUACUUAUAACAGCCCACUUAACACAGUGAAAAAAAUCACUCUAAAGCUGAGACAAGUCAAGACAACUCUUACAGAUUUACCUGGUAUAGACUUUAUAAACUCUAGUUACUGUGUAUGUUUUCUUCACUCUACCUGCUAACAAGCAACAUUGUUUAGAAUAAUAAUAUUUUUGGUCUAUAGAUAAGCCUUUCUGAAAGUAAAUAAAGUGUUUUUAGGGCUGCAUAUGAGACCCAAGUAGAAGUUAGUUUUGAAAAAGUAGUGCAGUUCCAGUCACACGUCUGCUUUGUUGUACAACCCAGACCUACCAAACCCAAACUCUACAUCUAAAUAGCCUGACAUUUCUGUAGCAAAUAGAGUGAAGAUCCAGAUGACAAUGGAAUGCAGACCUUGAUAUCAUAACAUCAGUUCUCUUUUAUCUCUACUUCAAAAAAGUUCCCCUGCAUUUUUGUAACGAGUCAGCAGGUUCUAGCCUAUGUGGAAGGUGAACUUCUGCCAAAAAACAGCAACAACAACAACAACAACAACAA